Molecule: non-coding RNA, 519 nt
Organism: Monodelphis domestica (gray short-tailed opossum)
Lineage: Eukaryota; Metazoa; Chordata; Mammalia; Didelphimorphia; Didelphidae
Source: RefSeq, a predicted model, not a curated record
GUCAGUUGUUAGUUUGCUAGGGAGAGAGCGCAGAAUUCUGGGUACCUGAAGGAGGGAGAGCCAGAGCUCACAGAUGUGGGAACUUCACCAUUUUACGUUAGCCCACCAAUCUGCUGAUUUACUUACUUCUUUGACUGCCUAUAUAUCAAGUGACAGUCACAGGACUUGGGGAAGAAGGCCAUAGAACUCUGCCAGAGUCAGCAGUUUUCUGCCUGCUUAGUCACACAGCCUCUAAAUAUUUAAUGCAGAAGCCCCUGGAGCCAAGAAAGGACUAAAAGGAAAAGUAUUUCAGAGGGAGAAAAUAACUGCAAAGUCUUAAAUACGUCCCUUGGAAGAGUGGCGAUGAAAUAUAGUGGAAAGAGCGCUGGCAUCAGAGAUCGUGUCUGAAUCCUGACUCUGCUGAUUACUUGCUAUGCAUCCUGAGGCAAGUUACACUCUGGAGCCUCAGUUUACCCAUCUCCAAAAUGAGGCAACUGAGGCAAACAGUGGUUAAGUGGCUUGCCCAAGAUCACCCAGCUA